Molecule: ribosomal RNA, 769 nt
Filed under: Psychrobacter nivimaris
Lineage: Bacteria; Pseudomonadati; Pseudomonadota; Gammaproteobacteria; Moraxellales; Moraxellaceae
Description: bacterial SSU rRNA
Rfam family: Bacterial small subunit ribosomal RNA
Source: RNAcentral
CUUGCUACCAGGCGUCGAGCGGCGGACGGGUGAGUAAUACUUAGGAAUCUACCUAGUAGUGGGGGAUAGCACGGGGAAACUCGUAUUAAUACCGCAUACGACCUACGGGAGAAAGGGGGCAGUUUACUGCUCUCGCUAUUAGAUGAGCCUAAGUCGGAUUAGCUAGAUGGUGGGGUAAAGGCCUACCAUGGCGACGAUCUGUAGCUGGUCUGAGAGGAUGAUCAGCCACACCGGGACUGAGACACGGCCCGGACUCCUACGGGAGGCAGCAGUGGGGAAUAUUGGACAAUGGGGGAAACCCUGAUCCAGCCAUGCCGCGUGUGUGAAGAAGGCCUUUUGGUUGUAAAGCACUUUAAGCAGUGAAGAAGACUCUUCGGUUAAUACCCGGAGACGAUGACAUUAGCUGCAGAAUAAGCACCGGCUAACUCUGUGCCAGCAGCCGCGGUAAUACAGAGGGUGCAAGCGUUAAUCGGAAUUACUGGGCGUAAAGCGAGCGUAGGUGGCUUGAUAAGUCAGAUGUGAAAUCCCCGGGCUUAACCUGGGAACUGCAUCUGAAACUGUUAGGCUAGAGUAGGUGAGAGGGAAGUAGAAUUUCAGGUGUAGCGGUGAAAUGCGUAGAGAUCUGAAGGAAUACCGAUGGCGAAGGCAGCUUCCUGGCAUCAUACUGACACUGAGGCUCGAAAGCGUGGGUAGCAAACAGGAUUAGAUACCCUGGUAGUCCACGCCGUAAACGAUGUCUACUAGUCGUUGGGUCCCUUGAGGACUUAGU